UACGUAGGGGGCUAGCGUUGUCCGGAUUUAUUGGGCGUAAAGAGCGUGUAGGCGGCCAGGUAGGUCUGCUGUGAAAACUCGAGGCUCAACCUCGAGACGUCGGCGGAAACCAUCUGGCUAGAGUCCGGAAGAGGAGAGUGGAAUUCCUGGUGUAGCGGUGAAAUGCGCAGAUAUCAGGAAGAACACCCGUGGCGAAGGCGGCUCUCUGGGCCAUUACUGACGCUGAGGAGCGAAAGCGUGGGGAGCGAACAGG
Molecule: ribosomal RNA, 253 nt
Filed under: uncultured bacterium
Lineage: Bacteria
Description: partial 16S ribosomal RNA
Rfam family: Bacterial small subunit ribosomal RNA
Source: RNAcentral